RNAcentral lists this ribosomal RNA (865 nucleotides) under Salmo trutta fario. RNAcentral describes it as "partial 16S ribosomal RNA". The stretch from base 190 to 865 matches the Rfam family "Bacterial large subunit ribosomal RNA", at positions 568 to 1676 of the family's 2925-position model. The record is from RNAcentral. Lineage: Eukaryota; Metazoa; Chordata; Actinopteri; Salmoniformes; Salmonidae.
AGCUGACUAGCUAGCCAACACAUUUGGUCUAACACCACAACAUACAUAUCCCUAUAAAACUUAAAAUUAAGUCAACAAACCAUUUUUCCACCUUAGUACGGGCGACGGAAAAGGAAACAUUCGAGCAACAGAAAAAGUACCGCAAGGGAAAGCUGAAAGAGAAAUGAAACAACCCAUUUAAGCCUAGAAAAGCAGAGAUUAAAUCUCGUACCUUUUGCAUCAUGAUUUAGCCAGCAAACCUGAGCAAAGAGAACUUUAGUUCAGGCCCCCGAAACUAGACGAGCUACUCCGGGACAGCCUGUUAUAGGGCCAACCCGUCUCUGUGGCAAAAGAGUGGGACGAGCCCCGAGUAGAGGUGAUAAACCUAUCGAGCCUAGUUAUAGCUGGUUGCUUAGGAAAUGAAUAGAAGUUCAGCCUCCUGGCUUUCUUAGGACCUCAAGGUAAAACUAACCUCGUCCCAAAGAAACCAAGAGAGUUAGUCAAAGGAGGUACAGCUCCUUUGAACAAGGACACAACCUUAACAGGCGGCUAAGGAUCAUAAUUACUAAGGCGACCUGUUACAGUGGGCCUAAGAGCAGCCACCUGCGUAGAAAGCGUUAAAGCUCAGACAGAUAUAAGCCUCUUAUCCUGAUAAGAAAUCCUACCCCCCUAACCAUACUAAGCCGUUCCAUGCCCCCAUGGAAGCGAUUAUGCUAGAAUGAGUAAUAAGAGAGAACAACUCUCUCCCAGCACAUGUGUAAGUCGGACCGGACCCACCACCGACAAAUAACGAACCCAAACCAAGAGGGAACUGUAAGCCAGAAUAAACAUCCAAGAAGAACCUGCAUCUAUAAAUCGUUAACCCCACACAGGAGUGCUUACAGGG